This 441-nucleotide ribosomal RNA is filed under the name Streptomyces mutabilis. Its description in RNAcentral is "bacterial SSU rRNA". It matches the Rfam family "Bacterial small subunit ribosomal RNA", at positions 211 to 664 of the family's 1533-position model. Lineage: Bacteria; Bacillati; Actinomycetota; Actinomycetes; Kitasatosporales; Streptomycetaceae. The record is from RNAcentral.
UCCGGCGGUGCAGGAUGAGCCCGCGGCCUAUCAGCUUGUUGGUGAGGUAAUGGCUCACCAAGGCGACGACGGGUAGCCGGCCUGAGAGGGCGACCGGCCACACUGGGACUGAGACACGGCCCAGACUCCUACGGGAGGCAGCAGUGGGGAAUAUUGCACAAUGGGCGAAAGCCUGAUGCAGCGACGCCGCGUGAGGGAUGACGGCCUUCGGGUUGUAAACCUCUUUCAGCAGGGAAGAAGCGAAAGUGACGGUACCUGCAGAAGAAGCGCCGGCUAACUACGUGCCAGCAGCCGCGGUAAUACGUAGGGCGCAAGCGUUGUCCGGAAUUAUUGGGCGUAAAGAGCUCGUAGGCGGCUUGUCACGUCGGUUGUGAAAGCCCGGGGCUUAACCCCGGGUCUGCAGUCGAUUCGGGCAGGCUAGAGUUCGGUAGGGGAGAUCGG